Molecule: long non-coding RNA, 1360 nt
Filed under: Triticum aestivum (bread wheat)
Lineage: Eukaryota; Viridiplantae; Streptophyta; Magnoliopsida; Poales; Poaceae
Description: long non-coding RNA (TAES_LNC018276)
Source: RNAcentral
CUCAUUCAUUCUUUGACCGCUAGAGGUAAUUACUUCACACGCAUGCUAAAAGAAAAUACAGCAAUUCCUUCACACCUCACCUUUGGUUACAGGAAGCUUGCGCUCUCUCAUUAUCACUGGUCGUUGCGCCAAGGGCACUUCAGAGUUUUAGGUUGCAUCAUGGUCUCAUAUGGCAGGUCCCACAAAAAAAGACGUACUAAGGUUAGUAGCUGCUACAACUGAAGCUAUUAUUCAUGCAACUGCAUGGUUUCUAUUGUUUGCCUUGUAAUGAAACAAUAAUGCCCAAGGUCAUUCGAAUUAUCUGGGCUAAUAGUGUCUAUUGUAGAAACUUGUUUGCUUGUAGCUAUAAUUGAUUCCUAUUGUUUGUCUGAUCACGGAACUACAAUCUUGACAAGACCAUUGUUGGCAUUAGCUAUUGUGGAAGCUUUUGUUCUUGUAGCAAUAAAAAAUAUCAUAAUUGAUUAGCUAUUGUGGAACCUUUUGUGCAUAUAGCUUCAACUGCUUCCUUACCUUAUCUCAGUCCCCUUGGAAUUAAGAAAAAUCCUGAGGUUUUGAAAAAAGGUUCCCAUAUUGAGGACCUAAUACACUAGCAGGGACUGAUUCUUGGUGUUUGUUCAUGAACUAGCAAGAAGCCAAAUUUUGAGAUAGGCUAACAUGGCUGGCAUUCAGCCAUCAUGGUACCUGUUGCACAUGUACUACCUUGCCAUGAAUAGCAAAAGAGUGCAAAGAGAUGGGCUCGUUGGUUGCAUCCCUGCAAGACUGUAAAGUUCAGCUGGGCAAACAGACAAAAUCUUGAAGACAACCUGGGACUACCUUUACUUUGAGGAACUAUUUCAGGAUUUGGUAUUAUCCGGAGAGUUUGAGGCACUGUUAAAAACUUCAUUUUUGCGGUCCAUUAUGUUACCCGGUACUUAUAGUAAUACUGCAUACAAAUAACUUUAUAAUGUACAUUCCGUUUAACAAUUUAACUAUGGGACAGCAAUGCCAUAUACAAUUAUCAUGUUAUGCAUUCUAUCACACGCAAGCCAUUUACUCCAUUAGACGAAACCGUAGAUGGGUAACUAAAAAGUGGAUUGGGCAGGCCAUACUCAGGCGGAACAGCGAGGCAUCACCAUCGGCCACGGGCAGGGAGAGAAGGGGGCAGGUCAACAGCGGAGUUUGAGGAGGGCGUUGAUUAGGAGGCGGAGAGGAAGGAGGAGGGCUGGGGCACGCCGAGCAGGCCCUGAGGAGAACAUGAUUAUCGUUGAACUGAAACCAGGACAACAAUUAUGGAACGGAGGGAGUAGUAUUUUGUUUUGACAUGAUAUUGUAAUAAACUUGUUGCUUUGUGCAUCAUAGAAUGCAGAUUGCAGAUUCUUUU